This 2875-nucleotide ribosomal RNA is filed under the name Helicobacter pylori J99. Its description in RNAcentral is "bacterial LSU rRNA". It matches the Rfam family "Bacterial large subunit ribosomal RNA". The record is from RNAcentral. Lineage: Bacteria; Pseudomonadati; Campylobacterota; Epsilonproteobacteria; Campylobacterales; Helicobacteraceae.
UUAAGAGCAGAUGGCGGAUGCCUUGCCAAAGAGAGGCGAUGAAGGACGUACUAGACUGCGAUAAGCUAUGCGGAGCUGUCAAGGAGCUUUGAUGCGUAGAUGUCCGAAUGGGGCAACCCAACUAAUAGAGAUAUUAGUUACUCUAAUAUAGAGAGCGAACCUAGUGAAGUGAAACAUCUCAGUAACUAGAGGAAAAGAAAUCAACGAGAUUCCCUAAGUAGUGGCGAGCGAACGGGGAAAAGGGCAAACCGAGUGCUUGCAUUCGGGGUUGAGGACUGCAAUAUCCAAGAGAACGCUUUAGCAGAGUUACCUGGAAAGGUAAGCCAUAGAAAGUGAUAGCCUUGUAUGCGACAAGGCGUUCUUAGGUAGCAGUAUCCAGAGUAGGCCAGGACACGAGAAAUCCAGGUUGAAGCCGGGGAGACCACUCUCCAACCCUAAAUACUACUCUUUGAGCGAUAGCGAACAAGUACCGUGAGGGAAAGGUGAAAAGAACCGCAGUGAGCGGAGUGAAAUAGAACCUGAAACCAUCUGCUUACAAUCAUUCAGAGCCCUAUGAUUUAUCAGGGUGAUGGACUGCCUUUUGCAUAAUGAUCCUGCGAGUUGUGGUAUCUGGCAAGGUUAAGCGAAUGCGAAGCCGUAGCGAAAGCGAGUCUUAAUAGGGCGCUUGAGUCAGAUGCUGCAGACCCGAAGCUAAGUGAUCUAUCCAUGGCCAAGUUGAAACGCGUGUAAUAGCGCGUGGAGGACUGAACUCGUACCCAUUGAAACGGGUUGGGAUGAGCUGUGGAUAGGGGUGAAAGGCCAAACAAACUUAGUGAUAGCUGGUUCUCUUCGAAAUAUAUUUAGGUAUAGCCUCAAGUGAUAAUAAAAGGGGGUAGAGCGCUGAUUGGGCUAGGGCUGCUCGCCGCGGUACCAAACCCUAUCAAACUUCGAAUACCUUUUAUCGUAUCUUGGGAGUCAGGCGGUGGGUGAUAAAAUCAAUCGUCAAAAGGGGAACAACCCAGACUACCAAAUAAGGUCCCUAAGUUCUAUUCUGAGUGGAAAAAGAUGUGUGGCUACUCAAACAACCAGGAGGUUGGCUUAGAAGCAGCCAUCCUUUAAAGAAAGCGUAACAGCUCACUGGUCUAGUGGUCAUGCGCUGAAAAUAUAACGGGGCUAAGAUAGACACCGAAUUUGUAGAUUGUGUUUGACACAGUGGUAGAAGAGCGUUCAUACCAGCGUUGAAGGUAUACCGGUAAGGAGUACUGGAGCGGUAUGAAGUGAGCAUGCAGGAAUGAGUAACGAUAAGAUAUAUGAGAAUUGUAUCCGCCGUAAAUCUAAGGUUUCCUACGCGAUGGUCGUCAUCGUAGGGUUAGUCGGGUCCUAAGCCGAGUCCGAAAGGGGUAGGUGAUGGCAAAUUGGUUAAUAUUCCAAUACCGACUAUGGAGCGUGAUGGGGGGACGCAUAGGGUUAAGCGAGCUAGCUGAUGGAAGCGCUAGUCUAAGGGCGUAGAUUGGAGGGAAGGCAAAUCCACCUCUGUAUUUGAAACCCAAACAGGCUCUUUGAGUCCUUUUAGGACAAAGGGAGAAUCGCUGAUACCGUCGUGCCAAGAAAAGCCUCUAAGCAUAUCCAUAGUCGUCCGUACCGCAAACCGACACAGGUAGAUGGGAUGAGUAUUCUAAGGCGCGUGAAAGAACUCUGGUUAAGGAACUCUGCAAACUAGCACCGUAAGUUCGCGAUAAGGUGUGCCACAGCGAUGUGGUCUCAGCAAAGAGUCCCUCCCGACUGUUUACCAAAAACACAGCACUUUGCCAACUCGUAAGAGGAAGUAUAAGGUGUGACGCCUGCCCGGUGCUCGAAGGUUAAGAGGAUGCGUCAGUCGCAAGAUGAAGCGUUGAAUUGAAGCCCGAGUAAACGGCGGCCGUAACUAUAACGGUCCUAAGGUAGCGAAAUUCCUUGUCGGUUAAAUACCGACCUGCAUGAAUGGCGUAACGAGAUGGGAGCUGUCUCAACCAGAGAUUCAGUGAAAUUGUAGUGGAGGUGAAAAUUCCUCCUACCCGCGGCAAGACGGAAAGACCCCGUGGACCUUUACUACAACUUAGCACUGCUAAUGGGAAUAUCAUGCGCAGGAUAGGUGGGAGGCUUUGAAGUAAGGGCUUUGGCUCUUAUGGAGCCAUCCUUGAGAUACCACCCUUGAUGUUUCUGUUAGCUAACUGGCCUGUGUUAUCCACAGGCAGGACAAUGCUUGGUGGGUAGUUUGACUGGGGCGGUCGCCUCCUAAAAAGUAACGGAGGCUUGCAAAGGUUGGCUCAUUGCGGUUGGAAAUCGCAAGUUGAGUGUAAUGGCACAAGCCAGCCUGACUGUAAGACAUACAAGUCAAGCAGAGACGAAAGUCGGUCAUAGUGAUCCGGUGGUUCUGUGUGGAAGGGCCAUCGCUCAAAGGAUAAAAGGUACCCCGGGGAUAACAGGCUGAUCUCCCCCAAGAGCUCACAUCGACGGGGAGGUUUGGCACCUCGAUGUCGGCUCAUCGCAUCCUGGGGCUGGAGCUGGUCCCAAGGGUAUGGCUGUUCGCCAUUUAAAGCGGUACGCGAGCUGGGUUCAGAACGUCGUGAGACAGUUCGGUCCCUAUCUGCCGUGGGCGUAGGAAAGUUGAGGAGAGCUGUCCCUAGUACGAGAGGACCGGGAUGGACGUGUCACUGGUGCACCAGUUGUUCUGCCAAGAGCAUCGCUGGGUAGCUACACACGGAUGUGAUAACUGCUGAAAGCAUCUAAGCAGGAAGCCAACUCCAAGAUGAACUUUCCCUGAAGCUCGCACAAAGACUAUGUGCUUGAUAGGGUAGAUGUGUGAGUGCAGUAAUGCGUUUAGCUGACUACUACUAAUAGAGCGUUUGGCUUGUUU